GAAUCUUUUAGAAGUGACUUUUAAAAUCAGAGGCAUAGAAAUGGAAAAAAGCUGCGCCCCCAUGAAAUUGGUCUUCAAGAAGAAAUGACUCGGAUGUGAUCCAUGGUGGUGGCAGGGAAUCACCUAAGUGCAAGCCAGGUUCCAAGUGACCAGUGGGAAAGACCUGAAGUGUGGCCACACCUCUUCCUUGCAUACUCCAGCCCAGAGACAUGUGGCCUGGGCAGAGGCGCUGUCUCUGGUCCAGCCCGGGGAAGGCAGAAGAACACUUUCUUUCAGUUUCUGGAAAAGAUGCUCUGGCCUCUAAUUCUUCACCUACCUGAAGUAGGAUCAGAAGAGAUCAGGAAGGAGAGAGAAAGAGCGAGGGACUCAGUUCAGAAGCCAGCAUAAGCCUCCGGUCUUCUCUGCUUUCCGGUUGGGUUCUCUUCUGGAUGGGUGUGUGGCAGAGCGGCAGGUGUAAGGCCUGGCUCGGUCUCAGCAUCACUUUCUUCAAAGUUCUCUUGGAUUUUUUUUUUUUUUUUGGCCUUUACCCUCAGAAAAUUAAAAUGUUCUCAUUAAAUCACGAUGAUCCAUCCACCCUUCCAUCUAGCCACUUGUCUAAUUAAUCACCUGCCUAUCUAUCCAUCUGCCCAGCUAUUAAACAGUUACUUAGCACUUACCCACUCAGAAAAUCACUCACCGUAUCAGGUGUUGGAGGAGACUGAAGGAUGACUCAG
RNAcentral lists this long non-coding RNA (713 nucleotides) under Mus spicilegus (steppe mouse). RNAcentral describes it as "lncRNA (ENSMSIG00000009864.1)". The record is from RNAcentral. Lineage: Eukaryota; Metazoa; Chordata; Mammalia; Rodentia; Muridae.